Molecule: long non-coding RNA, 716 nt
Filed under: Numida meleagris (helmeted guineafowl)
Lineage: Eukaryota; Metazoa; Chordata; Aves; Galliformes; Numididae
Description: lncRNA (ENSNMEG00000002196.1)
Source: RNAcentral
CAGCCUUACCUUCCCAAGGGUGAAGACUUCUUGUUCUUCAAGCCAUUUUCCAGUAAAGUUGAAAGUUGCAUUCAUGUUUACACUCAUGAAUGUGUAGGUUACAGGCGUAUACACUUGAGAGGUGGGAAUGGUGGGGAAGAUAAACAUCUCAUUAUUCUUUUGCACUCCACAGAUUCCCUACUACCCAGAAAGGGCACUUCUGCUCAUACACUGUUACCUGUUAUUCUUCAGAAAGAAUUUCUGAACUAGAGGCAAUACUGCUCGAAGGUGAUGCAGAUGCAUACUGUGUCAGCACAGAAAGACGAGGUGAGAUGCAGGAUGCACAGAAGCAGGAGGAUUUGAGUUGUCUGUGCAGUAUUAGGAGGCUGCUGAGCCUCUUUUGCCCAUCAGCAAUAAUGGAAUUUGGUUCCACACUGAAGAUAAUUGCCUCAAGUCAUUCUGCAGCCACAGGGAAGGUGCUGUAACUAAAGGGCUACCAGCUGCUUUGGGGUCAGCUCCCUCACAUUUCAGUCUGUAACUGGAGAAGAUGAAUCCCCUCUGCUGUGUGAGAGGUGAGGAAAUGGGAGAAAGAGUUGGCCUCUGGGAAGUAUUUGAAGAAUCAAAGGCCUUCUCAUUCUAACUUUACAGAAACAGAAUUUACAUUUUGUGGUUCUUUACAUUACCAAAAUAGCCUUCCUAUAAUGAUGAAGCCUGCUUGGACACAUACAAUAGCCAAA